CAUGGUUUCUCCAUCCUUUUUCCAUUUUCAAUGCAAUCCACCUUAAAUUUCUCUCUCCCGUAACGCCAUCCAUACCCCGGCAUUGCUCUGCCCGUACACAAACUACCACACUAGUCGCAAGUUAAAACCACUACAAAAUCCAUUCCAACUUGCCUCAUCUCUCCCACCUCCAUCACCAAACCAGCACAGGUCGCUGUCUCUCUCCGAAAUAUCAUUUCGUUUUUUAAUCAUCUUUUCCUCCUCUUCGCUAAUCACCAUGAUUUGCCUCCGAGCCGCCUUCCCCUUGACCUCCUCCUUCUCCUCCUCCCCUCUCCGCCGCCUCGCCCUCAAGCCCUCCUCCUCCCGCGCCGCCGCCGCCGCCGCCAUGUCGUCCGCCCCCGCCACCGCCAUCGCCGCGCCGGUCGAGCACAUCGUGCUCAUCAAGGUCCGCCCCGAGGCGGCGGCGUCGGGCGCCGCCGCGGCGAUGGUGUCCUCGCUGCAGGCGCUGUCCAGCGUGGUGCCCGGGCUGUCGUACAUCCACGUCGGCCCCGUGCUCCGCCUCCGGUCGCCGGCGGCGGAGGCGCUGGGGCCGACCCACGUCCUCCACUCCCGCUACGCCACCAAGCCCGACCUGGCGGCGUACGCGGCGCACCCGGCGCACGUCGCCGCCGUGCAGGGGCACGUCCUCCCCAACGCGCUCGACACCACCGCCAUCGACUGGGUCAACGCCGCGCUCGCGCCGUCCCCGGUCACCCCGGGCUCCGCCGUGCGGCUCACGCUGGCGAAGGUGAAGGAAGGUGUGGAGGUGCCCCAGCUCGUGGAGAAGGUCGCCGCGGCGACGGCGGCGGCGGGCGAGGCGAAGGGCGCCAGGGUGAGCUUCGGGGAGAACUUCUCCCCCGCGCGGGCUAAGGGGUACCAGUUCGGGAUGGUGGCGGUGUUCGACAGCGUGGAGGAGCUCGACGCGGUGGAGGGGGACGGGAAGGUGCAGGAGGCCAAGGCGGCGGUGAGGCCACUGCUCGACGAGGUGCUCGUGCUGGACUUCGUCGUCGGACCUGCCGCCGUGGAGGCUCCGGCGCCGGCCAACCUCUGAGAGAGUAUUAUACGCAAUAAUCGCUGUUGUCGGAAUCGGAUGUCCGGGUUACUACAUUUUGAGCAGUUUUGAUGACUUUGGCCAUGUUAAAGUUGAGGAGGUCAGUCCAUUCAAUAGUACAGAGGACCUUUUUUUAGUGGUAAUAGUGAUCUUGCUGAACGCAUCAGCUCUAGAAUUGUUGCACGUGGUAUUGCCCUCGAUGACUCUCAGCUUGAUGACCAUUCUGAAAGUGAUAGUUCUAGUAUAGGCACUGCAGCACAACCAUCCCCAAUUAGGAACAGUCCUUCAAGAAGCUUGAGUUUUUCUCAUUUGUCAAGGUUGAGAGGCAGAGUUCAUACCUUGUGGGAAUGGGUUCUUCGGAAAUGGCCUUCGGAUUGUAUUAUCAUUUACCAAAGCGAGCAGCUGGCAUUCGUUAUGUAUUCAUUGGGAAGCCAAUGAUUCAGAGGCCCAGGUACUCUCCUUUAUUUUGCUCAUCUAGGAGUACCUUUUAUACUACGGCCGAGUUUAGUUCCAAACUUUUUCUUCAAACCUCCAACUUUUCCAUCACAUCAAAACUUUUCUACACACACAAACUUCUAACUUUUCUGUCACAUUGUUCCAAUUUCAACCAAACUUCCAAUUUUGGCGUGAACAUGAAACAUAUCAUACAAACAUUAGACUAUGAAACACCUGCAAUAAAUGAGUUUGAGAAUGCAGAUGAUGAGUCUUUUCAUGAUCUACAGUUUUUUUUGGACAUCUUCACAUGUUUUACUUCCCUUUGGGAGCUUAAAAUUCUCCAGCAGAUCAUAUUUAACUCAUCGGAUUUUGCAGGUAUCAAAUCUUGGGUAUUUUUUUGUUAAUUCAGUUAUGUAUUCUCGGUGCUGAAAGGCUUCGAAGAAGUAAUUUAUCAACAAUUGCUAGUUCGAUUAAUCAAAUCUCAUCUGGAAGCUAUCCUUCAUCGAGAGGUGGCACUUUCUUUUUCUGAAUUUAUGAAACCGGUUUUGGUUUUAUGCCAAUGCUUUGUGUUUACUUGUUACAUGGGUAUAAAAUGUUCCAAUAUUACCUUUGUGAAUGGGAAACAGGUCGAGGUGUCACAUCGAAUAUUUGGACACAUGCAUGGAGUAUUAAAUAUAUAUAAAAAAAUUAAUUACACAGAAUACAUGUAAAUUGCGAGACAAAUCUUUUAAGUCUAAUUGCUCCAUGAUUUAACAAUAUGGUGCUAUAGUAAACAUUUGCUAAUAACGGAUUAAUUAUGUUUAAUAAAUUCGUCUCGUAGUUUAUAGGCAGAACCUGUAAUUUGUUUUGUUAUUAGUCUUCAUCUCAUACUUCAAAUAUUUGUCCGUAUAUUCAAUGUGACAUGCUAAAACUUUUCACCCCUAAACUACACAGGGCCUUUAGGCUGUGUUCGCGGGAGGAUGUUCCCAACCAGCCGUUAGCGCACGGAAAACGGAACGAUCUAUUAGCACGUGAUUAAUUAAGUAUUAGCUAAUUUUUUUUUAAAAAAUGGAUCAAUAUGAUUUUUUAAGCAACUUUCGUAUAAAAACUUUUUGCAAAAAACAUACCGUUUAGCAGUUUGAAAAACAUGCGCGCGGAAAACGAGGGAGAUGAGUUGUGAAACUUGGGUAAGAACACACCCUUAAUUAAUCUCGCGUUAAUAGACCGCUCCGUUUUCCGUGCUAACUGUUCCGGUUGGGAACUGGAAAUAGCGAACACAAUCUUAGGGUGUGUUUAGUUCACGCCAAAAUUGAAAGUUUGGUUGAAAUUGGAACAAUGUGAUAGAAAAGUUGAAAGUUUAUGUGUGUAGAAAAAUUUUGAUGUGAUGAAAAAGUUAAAAGUUCGAAGGAAAAGUUUGGAACUAAGUCCUCAGUAGAGUUGGAGUGUGGCAAAGCAAAAGACCGAACCUGUUUGUCACAGGUGCCACCAACCCUCUCAUCCGGCGGCUGCCCAACAGAGAAUCCAGCAUGGUUUCUCGGUUUCUCCAUCCUUUUCCCAUUUUGAAUGCAAUCCACCUCAAAUUUCUCUCUCCCGUAACGCCAUCCAUGACGCCGGCUUUGCUCUGCCCGUACACAAACAGCCAUACUAUACUACCAGCAAGUUACUAUGGAGUACUUGCAAACCACUACUCCAUCCAUUCCAACUUGCUUCAUCUUCAUCUUUCCCACCUCCAUCACCUCACCAACAGCACCAGCGCAGGUCGCUGUCUCCGAAAUAUCAUUUCGUUUUUAAUUAUCUUUUCCUCCCCUUCGCUAAUCACCAUGAUUUGCCUCCGAGCCGCCUUCCCCUUGACCUCCUCCCCUCUCCGCCGCCUCGCCCUCAAGCCCUCCUCCUCCCGCGCCGCCGCCGCCGCCAUGUCGUCCGCCAUCGCCGCGCCGGUCGAGCACAUCGUGCUCAUCAAGGUCCGCCCGGAGGCGGCGUCGUCGGGCGCCGCCGCGGCGAUGGUGUCAUCGCUGCAGGCGCUGUCCACGGCGGUGCCCGGGCUGUCGUACAUCCACGUCGGCCCCGUGCUCCGCCUCCGGUCGCCGGCGGCGGAGGCGCUGGGUCCGACCCACGUCCUCCACUCCCGCUACGCCACCAAGCCCGACCUGGCGGCGUACGCGGCGCACCCGGCGCACGUCGCCGCCGUGCAGGGGCACGUCCUCCCCAACGCGCUCGACUCCACCGCCAUCGACUGGGUCAACGCCGCCCUGGUGCCGUCCCCGGUGAACCCGGGCUCCGCCGUGCGGCUCUCCCUGGCGAAGUUGAAGGAGGGUGUGGAGGCGCACCAGCUCGCGGAGAAGCUCGCCGCGGCGACGGCGGCGGCCGGGGAGGCGAAGGGCGCCAAGGUGAGCUUCGGGGAGAACUUCUCCCCCGCGCGGGCCAAGGGGUACCAGUUCGGGAUGGUGGCGGUGUUCGACAGCGUGGAGGGGCUCGACGCGGUGGACGGGGACGGGAAGGUGGAGGCGGCCAAGGCCAUAGUCAGGCCGCUGCUCGACGACGUGCUCGAGCUGGAAUUCGUCGUCGGACCUGCCGCCGCGGAGGCUCCGGCGCCGGCCAACCUCUGAGAGGUUUGCCUUUGGUUCGAAAACUCUAGUUGCCUUGUUUGAUCGGUUGAGAAUAAUACAAUCCUUGUGAUUGGGUGUGCUGUGGCCUGUGGUUAGCAAUGGCAAUUGAUUUUGAAAUGAAUAAGAAUUGUACCUGACUACCUGAACUAGGAAUUAGGAUGGCCGCUCUUGCUUGGACGUCUACCGAACAAGAGCUUGCUGUCUUCAGUGUU
Molecule: non-coding RNA, 4301 nt
Organism: Oryza sativa Japonica Group (Japanese rice)
Lineage: Eukaryota; Viridiplantae; Streptophyta; Magnoliopsida; Poales; Poaceae
Source: RefSeq, a predicted model, not a curated record